Molecule: ribosomal RNA, 253 nt
Filed under: uncultured prokaryote
Description: partial 16S ribosomal RNA
Rfam family: Bacterial small subunit ribosomal RNA
Source: RNAcentral
UACGUAGGGGGCCAGCGUUGCUCGGAAUUACUGGGCGUAAAGGGUUCGUAGGUGGUGCGGCAAGUUGGAAGUGAAAUCUCUGGGCUUAACUCAGAGGCUGCUUUCAAAACUGCCGUGCUCGAGUGCGGGAGAGGCCGGUGGAAUUGCAGGUGUAGCGGUGAAAUGCGUAGAUAUCUGCAGGAACACCCGUGGCGAAAGCGGCGAGCUGGAUCACUACUGACGCUGAGGAACGAAAGCUAGGGGAGCAAACAGG